Molecule: ribosomal RNA, 711 nt
Filed under: Planococcus rifietoensis
Lineage: Bacteria; Bacillati; Bacillota; Bacilli; Caryophanales; Caryophanaceae
Description: bacterial SSU rRNA
Rfam family: Bacterial small subunit ribosomal RNA
Source: RNAcentral
GUCGAGCGGAGAUAGUGGAGCUUGCUCCAUUAUCUUAGCGGCGGACGGGUGAGUAACACGUGGGCAACCUGCCCUGCAGAUCGGGAUAACUCCGGGAAACCGGUGCUAAUACCGAAUAGUUUGCGGCCUCUCAUGAGGCUGCACGGAAAGACGGUUUCGGCUGUCACUGCAGGAUGGGCCCGCGGCGCAUUAGCUAGUUGGUGAGGUAACGGCUCACCAAGGCCACGAUGCGUAGCCGACCUGAGAGGGUGAUCGGCCACACUGGGACUGAGACACGGCCCAGACUCCUACGGGAGGCAGCAGUAGGGAAUCUUCCGCAAUGGACGAAAGUCUGACGGAGCAACGCCGCGUGAGUGAAGAAGGUUUUCGGAUCGUAAAACUCUGUUGUGAGGGAAGAACAAGUACCAACUAACUACUGGUACCUUGACGGUACCUCACCAGAAAGCCACGGCUAACUACGUGCCAGCAGCCGCGGUAAUACGUAGGUGGCAAGCGUUGUCCGGAAUUAUUGGGCGUAAAGCGCGCGCAGGCGGUCCUUUAAGUCUGAUGUGAAAGCCCACGGCUCAACCGUGGAGGGUCAUUGGAAACUGGGGGACUUGAGUGCAGAAGAGGAAAGUGGAAUUCCACGUGUAGCGGUGAAAUGCGUAGAGAUGUGGAGGAACACCAGUGGCGAAGGCGACUUUCUGGUCUGUAACUGACGCUGAGGCGCGA